AAAGUCGUAACAAGGUUUCCGUAGGUGAACCUGCGGAAGGAUCAUUAACGAAUAGAACAAAGCCCUCCCUCGUGGCUGAUGCUGGCUCCUCGGAGCGCGUGCACGCCUCGUCGGGGGCGACUUCAUUCGCCUUCACCCCCUUGUGCACUCCAUGUAGGUCGUCGAUGUGGGCCCACGCCUCUCGACGCCUACGAGCUCGUCUUUGUACGCACCUCGAUCGCAUGUCUGUGUGUAAACUUUUCGAUGUGAUAACACGAAACACAACUUUCAACAACGGAUCUCUUGGCUCUC
Molecule: unclassified non-coding RNA, 291 nt
Filed under: Basidiomycota sp.
Lineage: Eukaryota; Fungi; Basidiomycota
Description: partial contains small subunit ribosomal RNA, internal transcribed spacer 1, and 5.8S ribosomal RNA
Rfam family: Eukaryotic small subunit ribosomal RNA (bases 1-47)
Source: RNAcentral